Daphnia pulicaria is the source of this 683-nucleotide long non-coding RNA. RefSeq lists it as uncharacterized. Lineage: Eukaryota; Metazoa; Arthropoda; Branchiopoda; Diplostraca; Daphniidae. The transcript has 4 exons. The record is from RefSeq and is a predicted model, not a curated record.
UUUGCUGUUUUGAAGCUGCACUGAUGGGUUAUGAGAUCCAAAGUUUUAUGAAAGAGAAAGGACUCAAUCCCUUAAAAAAUCCAAUGGUGCCUCUUAUUCAGGCACCAGUAUUUAUGAGUUUUUUCUUUGCCAAACUCUCGUCUCUCAAGGCUUUCCCAUUUUAAUUUAUUUCUUCCGAGCCAUCCCAUUCAUCAUGUUCCCCAUCACGAUGAAUUUCCCAGGAGCUAUUCUGUGCUAUUGGUUGACGACUAAUGUCAUUUCACUUGUUCAAGUCGGUUUCCUUCGCCUUUCCCAAAGUCCGAAGCUAUUUCGAUAUCGAUCCGAUAGUUGUUGUUCAGCCAGUUAAAGGGGCCGGACCCAAAAAAGGAUUCGUUGAGGGAAUGAAAUAAGCUUGGAAUAAUCAGAAAAUCACCGCUGAACUUAACGAUCGCCAGCGUCUUAUUGAUUCAAAUUUCAGACGUGCAGGUACUGGUCCAAUUCAGAAAACUUAUUCCUACAAUCCAACAGCAGCACCGAAAGCACAGGAACUAGUCCAGAAAGGUUUCAAACAAACGAAGAAAUCCGUGUAGUUUGAAUUGUUUGAGCGAAACAAUAUUUAGCUAUUGAACUUGUUUCCUUCCUUGUUUCCACUCUUUGGAAUACAACACAUUCGCAACCCGGUAGCGAAUGAAUGACCAUCAAAU